Long non-coding RNA from Ceratitis capitata (Mediterranean fruit fly), 1158 nucleotides. RefSeq lists it as uncharacterized. The record is from RefSeq and is a predicted model, not a curated record. The transcript is spliced from 3 exons. Lineage: Eukaryota; Metazoa; Arthropoda; Insecta; Diptera; Tephritidae.
AAAUUGUCGUAUGUGCAAAGCUCCAUGUGUUGGAGCUUUUUGGCUGAGCAUAGUGUUUGAAAAAAUAAUCAAAAUUAACUUUCAUAGCAUUAUACACCGGCAAACAAGUUCCACAUCAGCCCACAAGCUUUACGAAAAUGCAACCGCCUCGUGUAUUGACAAAAGAAGAAAGAGACAAGUGGGAGUUGAUAAGAAUAGCCAAAAGCAUGAAACGGACUUUUGAAAAACGUGCAGAGAUAAAUAUGUCGAGGGAGUGUAAAACAAAAACGAUGUACCGUUAAAUAUGCAUAUUUAUAUCAUAUCCCAGUUAGCUAUCAUAGCAGCACUCCAAAGAAAAUACCGUUCUCUUAGCAGUUCGAAAAAAAAAACUUUUGCGAGAGUUUCAAAUCAACUUUUGCUCCCGAGCGGAUUAAAUGCAUUCUUAACAACACUUGAUAGGGUAAAUCGUGGAUCAGGGUUCUCUGCAUAUUAUCAAGAUUUUCGCCAAAGCAUGAAGGAGCGGGCUUUUCAGUGGUUAAUUAAGUUUUUUCCCGAAUUGUCAUACACAAAAAGCAGAGUCUGAUAUUUCAAAAACGAUUCGCCAUUUUUUGACCGAAAAUCUCCGAAUUUGUAGUAGAUCUCAAUGGCAAUAUAUUGACAUGAUAACGAAAGACUGAAGCUAAAAUAUCUAAAGAUACUUUUCCUGCAAUCCCAUACAGCAUUCCCAUCACGAGUUAUUCGCCGACAACUUAUACGAUGCUAGCGACGAACAAGGAGAGCGGCAACGGCAAGAUCUAGCCAACAUCGAAAGAUGAUAUCAAGAAGUUCGGGGUGAAGGCAUAAUGAGUAACUAUUGUUGGACUGUAAUAAUUGAAACAGACAUCAAGUCACGUUUUCAAAAAUUUCAAAAAAUCAAAAUUUUUUCUAGUAAAUUGCUGGAGUAUAGUCUUAGGAACAAAACAGAAAUAGUCCCGAAAGUCCGCAAGAACAAGAAUUAAGUAUAGCAGAGGGGAGAGCGGAACGCGCCAAGCGGUAAAUCCAGUCGCUCGAGCACUUUAAUCGCCUUUUUCUCGAAACCACGUUUUUUCAAACUGGACACUCUUGUUUAGAGCCGAUUGUACUUAUCAAAAUGAACUAAAUGACAUUUUACUCCUAAAAUUAUUCUCUACGGUCGGUACU